RNAcentral lists this ribosomal RNA (488 nucleotides) under Durinskia baltica. RNAcentral's name for it is "partial Bacterial small subunit ribosomal RNA". It matches the Rfam family "Bacterial small subunit ribosomal RNA", at positions 1 to 531 of the family's 1533-position model. Lineage: Eukaryota; Dinophyceae; Peridiniales; Kryptoperidiniaceae. The record is from RNAcentral.
AUGGAGAGUUUGAUCCUGGCUCAGGAUGAACGCUGGCGAGAUGCCUUACACAUGCAAGUCGUACGGGGAUUUUUAAUUCAAGUGGCGGACGGGUGAGUAACACGUAAGAAUUUGCCUUUAGGAGGGGGACAACAACUGGAAACGGUUGCUAAUACCCCAUAUGCUUUCGAGUGAAAUGGAUUUUUCCGCCUAAAGAGAAGCUUGCGGCUGAUUAGCUUGUUGGUGAGGUAAUGGCUCACCAAGGCGACGAUCAGUAUCUGGUUUGAGAGGAUGAUCAGACACACUGGAACUGAGACACGGUCCAGACUCCUACGGGAGGCAGCAGUGGGGAAUUUUCCGCAAUGGGCGAAAGCCUGACGGAGCAAUCUCGCGUGAGGGAUGACGGCCUAUGGGUUGUAAACCUCUUUUUUCAGGGAGGAACAAAAUGACGUGUACCUGAAGAAUAAGCACCGGCUAACUCCGUGCCAGCAGCCGCGGUAAGACGGAGG